This 467-nucleotide ribosomal RNA is filed under the name uncultured bacterium. RNAcentral describes it as "partial 16S ribosomal RNA". It matches the Rfam family "Bacterial small subunit ribosomal RNA", at positions 28 to 507 of the family's 1533-position model. The record is from RNAcentral.
GACGAACGCUGGCGGCGUGCUUAACACAUGCAAGUCGAACGGAAAGGCCCCUUUCGGGGGGUACUCGAGUGGCGAACGGGUGAGUAACACGUGAGUAACCUGCCCUUGACUUUGUGAUAACUUCAGGAAACUGGGGCUAAUACCUGAUAGGAGCUCCUGCAGCAUGGUGGGGGUCGGAAAGUUUCGGCGGUUAGGGAUGGGUUGGCGGCGUAUCAGCUUGUUGGUGGGGGGGUGGCUGACCAAGGGUUUGUCGGGUAGCCGGCCUGUGAGGGUGACCGGCCACAUUGGGUCUGAGAGACGGCCCAGGCUGCGACGGUUGGCAGAUGGGGGGAAUAUUGCACAAGGGGUGGAAGCCUGAUGCAGAAAGGCCGUGGGCGGGAGGACGGCCUUCGGGUUGGAGACCGCUUUCGCUCAUGACGAAGCUUUGUGUGACGGUAGUGGGUAAAGAAGCACCGGCUAACUACGUG